RNAcentral lists this ribosomal RNA (399 nucleotides) under Crustacea environmental sample. RNAcentral describes it as "partial small subunit ribosomal RNA". It matches the Rfam family "Eukaryotic small subunit ribosomal RNA", at positions 30 to 432 of the family's 1831-position model. The record is from RNAcentral. Lineage: Eukaryota; Metazoa; Arthropoda.
GCUUGUCUCAAAGAUUAAGCCAUGCAUGUCUAAGUACAAGCCUCAGUAAGGUGAAACCGCGAAUGGCUCAUUAAAUCACACCUAAUCUACUGGAAAGUUACUAGUUACUUGGAUAACUGAGGUAAUUCUUGAGCUAAUACAUGCGAAAAAUCUCGACUCACGGAGAGAUGCUUUUAUUAGAUCAAAACCAAACGGCUUCGGCCGUCUCAUUGGUGACUCUGAAUAACUUUGGGCUGAUCGUAUGGCCUUGUGCCGACGAUGCAUCGUUCGAAUAUCUGCCUUAUCAAAUUGUCGGUAGGAUAGAGGCCUACCGAGUUGACAACGGGUAACGGGGAAUAAGGGUUCGAUUCCGGAGAGGGAGCCUGAGAUACGGCUACCACAUCCAAGGAAGGCAGCAGG